Molecule: ribosomal RNA, 2261 nt
Filed under: Salmonella enterica
Lineage: Bacteria; Pseudomonadati; Pseudomonadota; Gammaproteobacteria; Enterobacterales; Enterobacteriaceae
Description: partial 23S ribosomal RNA
Rfam family: Bacterial large subunit ribosomal RNA
Source: RNAcentral
CCCUUUGGGUGUGACUGCGUACCUUUUGUAUAAUGGGUCAGCGACUUAUAUUCUGUAGCAAGGUUAACCGAAUAGGGGAGCCGGAGGGAAACCGAGUCUUAACCGGGCGUUAAGUUGCAGGGUAUAGACCCGAAACCCGGUGAUCUAGCCAUGGGCAGGUUGAAGGUUGGGUAACACUAACUGGAGGACCGAACCGACUAAUGUUGAAAAAUUAGCGGAUGACCUGUGGCUGGGGGUGAAAGGCCAAUCAAACCGGGAGAUAGCUGGUUCUCCCCGAAAGCUAUUUAGGUAGCGCCUCGUGAAUUCAUCUCCGGGGGUAGAGCACUGUUUCGGCUAGGGGGCCAUCCCGGCUUACCAACCCGAUGCAAACUGCGAAUACCGGAGAAUGUUAUCACGGGAGACACACGGCGGGUGCUAACGUCCGUCGUGAAGAGGGAAACAACCCAGACCGCCAGCUAAGGUCCCAAAGUCAUGGUUAAGUGGGAAACGAUGUGGGAAGGCCCAGACAGCCAGGAUGUUGGCUUAGAAGCAGCCAUCAUUUAAAGAAAGCGUAAUAGCUCACUGGUCGAGUCGGCCUGCGCGGAAGAUGUAACGGGGCUAAACCAUGCACCGAAGCUGCGGCAGCGACACUGUGUGUUGUUGGGUAGGGGAGCGUUCUGUAAGCCUGUGAAGGUGUGUCGUGAGGCAUGCUGGAGGUAUCAGAAGUGCGAAUGCUGACAUAAGUAACGAUAAAGCGGGUGAAAAGCCCGCUCGCCGGAAGACCAAGGGUUCCUGUCCAACGUUAAUCGGGGCAGGGUGAGUCGACCCCUAAGGCGAGGCCGAAAGGCGUAGUCGAUGGGAAACGGGUUAAUAUUCCCGUACUUGGUGUUACUGCGAAGGGGGGACGGAGAAGGCUAUGUUGGCCGGGCGACGGUUGUCCCGGUUUAAGCGUGUAGGUGUGUGUUCCAGGUAAAUCCGGUUCACUUUAACACUGAGGCGUGACGACGAGGCACUACGGUGCUGAAGCAACAAAUGCCCUGCUUCCAGGAAAAGCCUCUAAGCAUCAGGUAACAUCAAAUCGUACCCCAAACCGACACAGGUGGUCAGGUAGAGAAUACCAAGGCGCUUGAGAGAACUCGGGUGAAGGAACUAGGCAAAAUGGUGCCGUAACUUCGGGAGAAGGCACGCUGACACGUAGGUGAAGUGAUUUACUCAUGGAGCUGAAGUCAGUCGAAGAUACCAGCUGGCUGCAACUGUUUAUUAAAAACACAGCACUGUGCAAACACGAAAGUGGACGUAUACGGUGUGACGCCUGCCCGGUGCCGGAAGGUUAAUUGAUGGGGUCAGCGCAAGCGAAGCUCCUGAUCGAAGCCCCGGUAAACGGCGGCCGUAACUAUAACGGUCCUAAGGUAGCGAAAUUCCUUGUCGGGUAAGUUCCGACCUGCACGAAUGGCGUAAUGAUGGCCAGGCUGUCUCCACCCGAGACUCAGUGAAAUUGAACUCGCUGUGAAGAUGCAGUGUACCCGCGGCAAGACGGAAAGACCCCGUGAACCUUUACUAUAGCUUGACACUGAACAUUGAGCCUUGAUGUGUAGGAUAGGUGGGAGGCUUUGAAGUGUGGACGCCAGUCUGCAUGGAGCCGACCUUGAAAUACCACCCUUUAAUGUUUGAUGUUCUAACGUGGACCCGUUACCCGGGUUGCGGACAGUGUCUGGUGGGUAGUUUGACUGGGGCGGUCUCCUCCUAAAGAGUAACGGAGGAGCACGAAGGUUGGCUAAUCCUGGUCGGACAUCAGGAGGUUAGUGCAAUGGCAUAAGCCAGCUUGACUGCGAGCGUGACGGCGCGAGCAGGUGCGAAAGCAGGUCAUAGUGAUCCGGUGGUUCUGAAUGGAAGGGCCAUCGCUCAACGGAUAAAAGGUACUCCGGGGAUAACAGGCUGAUACCGCCCAAGAGUUCAUAUCGACGGCGGUGUUUGGCACCUCGAUGUCGGCUCAUCACAUCCUGGGGCUGAAGUAGGUCCCAAGGGUAUGGCUGUUCGCCAUUUAAAGUGGUACGCGAGCUGGGUUUAGAACGUCGUGAGACAGUUCGGUCCCUAUCUGCCGUGGGCGCUGGAGAACUGAGGGGGGCUGCUCCUAGUACGAGAGGACCGGAGUGGACGCAUCACUGGUGUUCGGGUUGUCAUGCCAAUGGCACUGCCCGGUAGCUAAAUGCGGAAGAGAUAAGUGCUGAAAGCAUCUAAGCACGAAACUUGCCCCGAGAUGAGUUCUCCCUGAGACUUAGAGU